GUCCACGCCCUAAACGAUGUCAACUGGUUGUUGGUGGGGUUAAACCCAUUAGUAACGAAGCUAACGCGUGAAGUUGACCGCCUGGGGAGUACGGCCGCAAGGUUAAAACUCAAAGGAAUUGACGGGGACCCGCACAAGCGGUGGAUGAUGUGGAUUAAUUCGAUGCAACGCGAAGAACCUUACCUACCCUUGACAUGCCAGGGAGCCGGAUGAGAGUUCGGUGUGCCCGAAAGGGAGCCUGGACACAGGUGCUGCAUGGCUGUCGU
This 266-nucleotide ribosomal RNA is filed under the name uncultured bacterium. RNAcentral's name for it is "partial 16S ribosomal RNA". It matches the Rfam family "Bacterial small subunit ribosomal RNA", at positions 793 to 1055 of the family's 1533-position model. The record is from RNAcentral.